AUUACCGCCACUAGCUGGUCGCUGCCUCCGAUUUGCUCUUGCUGUUUCUGAUAUGAUCGGCGUCUGACGAGCGAGCUAGCAGAGGAGCGGAACGACCUUUACGAUGCGGACUAGCUAACUGAAUCUUUCUGAAGAAUAUUCAUGUGACAUGUCUGGUCUCUGAUAGCGUAAACAUGGGGAAAUGAGAAGACAACGGGGAGUAGAAAUUAGGGGAACCACGGGGUGGCAGAUGGACAAACCGACCACUUGGAGAAACAUCCCCCUCUUCCCAUGUCUGACGGCGCCAGGUUUGGUUGAUCUGCUCGGAGGACAUAUAGAUACGGUUUCUGGUUUUCUGACGGGAUCCUCUCUGUUCGACUUGUUUUUCAUCUGGAGUGGUGGCGUUGAUAGAGAUCAAGAUGGAGCUAUGGGACCACUACAACAUCCUCAACAACUUGGAUAUCGACACUCCUUGAACUCCCAGUUGGAGGAAGGUUACUUGCUUGGCUGGCCGUCUACAUGUCCAUGCUCUUUAUGUACAUCAUGUGUAUGUUGAAAUACCCCUGCUACCUCCCAGUCCUCUCCCUUAUGUCUGGAGGUACUUUGCGUGGAUACAGUUUGCACAAUUUUUUAUAUAGUCUCAUCUUUUGUCAUUCGGUGACAUAGUUGGUUAGGAAGCUCACUCGUGUGUAGAUUACCUACUUUUAUAAUAUUUCUGUAUUGGAAGUUGAAUUUUAGCUUUGCAAGGUUCUUUUGAUUUCGAUAUUGUUACCAUCCAUAAGAUCAAUAGCUACUAUUUACUCAGUAUCAGAGAGCACUAAAUAUUUUCAUCUUUUCACAAGUGACAUAAUGAGAGUUAUUUUUUAUCUUACAAAAAUGAGAUUGUGUGUUGUUUGACUAAUUCGCUGUGAGUACGUAUUAUAUUUGGUUUUACCUGAAAAAUAUUAUGUCUUUGUAUUUCUUUAGCUAACUUCUUACCAGUAAUUUUAGGGAGCUGACAUAUAUUAAACAUAGGUUGAGAUUUUGUAACUAAUCUUAUGCUUUGAGAAAACAAGUAUUUUAAGUUUUAGUAAGUAUUGCAACCUUAUUACCUUUCUGUAUAGAUUUGCAUUUUUAUUGCUAAUAUAAUGUUAUACAUCUUCCAUGUUUAUCUUACAUUAAUGUAGAUAUCCAAUGCAUCGAACAAAGAAAAGAGUCAGCACAAAGAGUUCAUCGAGGAAUGGUUUCGGUGCUUUGACUAUUUAGUCAUUUAAGUUUUUUUCCUCUCUAUGUUGUCAACUAAAUAAAUAGAUUAUGCCAUAAUUCUUCAGGAGUGUUACAAUAUUAAACAUACAAUCAAGGCUACUAUUUUCUUCUUUAGGUUAUUUUGUAACAUCAUGAUAAUUGUCUGAUGAAUAUAUUUUGCUUCAAAGCUAGCAAUUGCUUUGGAGUUCCACAACCCAAAUAGAACAUAAUGGCUAGCUUGAUAUUGAAGUUAAGAGUGUGUGGUUUGUAAUUUUGAUAUACCUUUGCAGUUUGUUUAGCUACAACAUUUUUGCAUCUUAACAUACUUCUAUUCUUGAAGGCUUUUCUUAAAUGGAAGCCCAAUGAGAUCAGAAAUGGUGGCUCCUCUAAUUUCCAAUGAUAUAUAAAGUCACAAUGAAGUCGGGAUGUGUUUUGGUACUCCGUCCGGUCGGAAUUACUUGUCGAAAUAUUACAUUACCUAUAUAUAUGCUUUUUAAAUAUAGAUACAUCAAUGUUUGGGCAAAUUUGAGACAAGUAAUAUGGAUCGGAGGGAGUAGUAAACUUUGAUGAUAAGGAAUAAACGAGGCUGCUGGUAAUAAUCGCCGAAAACCUAUUGAUCCAUUAUAUUUAAUCUUUAUAGGAUUAUGUAAUGUUCUUUAAUGUUCCGUACUCUGACUUGAUUUGUAUUUAGAGAACUCUUAGCUUAGAAUAUGUGGGACAAUAGAAUCAUGUUUUCUUUUUGGUCCAUAUUAUUGUUUUGGCAUCUUCGGUGGUCAAAAGAAGCCUACAAGGGUGGUUAGAUAGCUGGACGAUUAUGCUCACAGUUUGAUACAAUUCACGGAGUAUACUUUGCUGUGUUUUUUCUUUUUUGCAUAUGCUUAUUGACUAAUUUUGUAACAAGUUAUCAUGUUGCCUCAAUAGUGUAUACAUAUUAUGAAUGAACAUUGUUGAGCUACUAUUAUCCGGCGCGGCAAGGCGCGCUUACCCAUCUAGUACAAUCAAGGUCCAUCUAUUACUCUCCUUUGAGCCUCUAUGGUAGUAGUUCCAGUAUAGCUCAGUGUGUCCGACAACAGACUCUAAAUUCUCAACUUAGGGACACUUGAAGACGAUGAUGGAUCGCAACGGAAGCUAGCGAGAAAAGGAACCUGCUGCAUGUGCUGCGACAACCAAAUCGACUCGCUUCCUUACAGGUUUUUGCUUCAACUUGCCAGCUAUAUCUAACUGUCUGCACUUGUCUGCCGACUUGGGUUCGGCACAUCGGGGGGACGGAUCGAGAGGUGCAGCGGAUUAGGGGCGUGGUCGUCGGGGAAGUCGGCGGCGACAGGGGCUACCAUGAACAUAAUAGAGGAUGAAGGAGCAUGGGGGUACCCGAAGAUACUGAAACAGGGAAUCUAGUGCCUCGUCGCAGGAGGCGGCUUGUACAAAAGGAUCUGAUUCCAGUUGAUCCAAUUCCAGAAGUUUAUGGUGAGAAGCAAAAGACUCUAGUAGGCUGGGUGUGUGCUAGCAAAAAUAUCGGGGGAUCCAGCAUGUGUGUGCUGGCAACUAGUUUUUCGGGGGUAGUUUACACGUUCAGUGUUUGCUUCCAAUGAGUGGCUGAAAACUAAAAAAAAUCUACCUAGCAGGAGGCUUUGUACAUUUUUUGGGGGAUUCAGCAUAUGUGUGCUGGAAACUAUUUUUUCUGGAUGAAAACCACACUACUCCUUGUAUGCACCGGAGCUACUGCUUGUUUAGUUUUUUGUAGUUGAAAGGUUCAGGGUUUGCUUUCAAAUUGUUGCUGGAAACUAAAAGCUAAAAAUGACCUGUACAGGUGAUACUCCCUUUGUGCAGUUUUAUUUUACAUGACAGGUUCAGAGU
This is a long non-coding RNA of Brachypodium distachyon (stiff brome), 3057 nucleotides long. RefSeq lists it as uncharacterized. NCBI's taxonomy places the organism in Eukaryota, Viridiplantae, Streptophyta, Magnoliopsida, Poales, Poaceae. The record is from RefSeq and is a predicted model, not a curated record. The transcript is spliced from 4 exons.